UAUUAGGUUGGUGCAAAAGUAAUUGCAGUCUUUGCCAUUACUUUUAAUAGGAAAAUCUACAAUAAAUUUUGCACCAACCUAAUAU
Cebus imitator (Panamanian white-faced capuchin) is the source of this 85-nucleotide microRNA precursor. The record is from Ensembl. Lineage: Eukaryota; Metazoa; Chordata; Mammalia; Primates; Cebidae.